This 1180-nucleotide long non-coding RNA is filed under the name Mus musculus (house mouse). RNAcentral describes it as "RIKEN cDNA 2610316D01 gene". The record is from RNAcentral. Lineage: Eukaryota; Metazoa; Chordata; Mammalia; Rodentia; Muridae.
GUGAGUGUGAGAGCAAGAACAGCCCGCAGGUCCCGAGGCGCUUGCAGGGGACUCUGCCGCGGAAAGUUCCCAGUCCCCAGCCGCAGGUGUUUUCCCUCCUGCUGAUCGUGGAAAGAAAUCACCAAGAAGAGGGGAAAGUUGCCCCGGGGCCGGUAGUCAUGUAGGGGUUACCAAAGCAAGGGACUCUGGCAGAGAUGCGCGCGGACAAUUUAAAUGCCGGCAUAAAAUGAAGCUUUUUAUUUUUGGUUGAUUCCUGCUGUCUACUCCUCUUGGAUGCCUUUGUGAAACUGCUUCUAUCUGAGAAGGAGGAGUUGCCAUUUAGCAAGUAGUAGGUGGUACCGUGUGUGGCAGAGUCCGAUGUGUUACACCACGAGGACAUUCAUCUUUGCAAUUGGUGAAGUCCUUCUACCUAGUUCCCCUUCCUUGUGCACAGAAGAGGACUGGAAAACUCCUCACAGGACUGCAUACUGCUAUCUCUGAGAAGUUUCGGUGUGAAAUCAUAUCUUAUUGAAAAUAUGGAUGUAACAUGUUGACACCACAGAAACCCUCAUAACGUAGGCUGCCAGUUGAUCACCCUUUCUACUCCACCUGGGGCAAAGCUGAUUUCAGACACACCUCAGAGAGACCAGAAAGAAGAAAGUACCUCUUCCUUCCAAGCUUCUACCUAAGAGUAUACUGGAAGGUUUACCUAGAGCAACAAGACAACGAAAUGGAUUGUCCUUCUCACGCUAGUCCACACACAAUCCUCAUCAUUUUGAUAAGAUAGCAUGAAGUCUCUUAUCGCUUGUGGAUCCAGCACUUUGGUUCAGGUUCAUCUGCCCAUAAUUCUCUAAGAUUUGGAGCUGUUGAGGAGUGGCUCAUAGUAGACACUGAACCAUCAGCCAACAGCAUUUGUUGUCCUGGAUGUCUGUGCCAACCUUUCGAGUCACACUGGGGUCUAAAGACACACCUGGAAUAAAAAUCAGAAUGCUUAAGAAACUUAAUAUGAUCUGCGGGAGAAUACAUGAGGUUUUUGUUUCAUACCACAGUCUGAUGACAGCAUGGAUUUCAACUGAUGAUGUUCACCUUUGCCUCUUGGGUCAAUAUGUGAGCUCAGAGAUUUCCCUGCUUUUGUUCUGUCAUUAUGGAUUCUAAACUUCUGAAACUACAUACUCAAUUAAAUGUUUUCUUUUAUAAAUUA